Long non-coding RNA from Daucus carota subsp. sativus, 767 nucleotides. RefSeq lists it as uncharacterized. The transcript is spliced from 3 exons. Lineage: Eukaryota; Viridiplantae; Streptophyta; Magnoliopsida; Apiales; Apiaceae. The record is from RefSeq and is a predicted model, not a curated record.
UAAUUCAAAAUAUCAAUCUCUCCGUUCUCAUCCCUGCGUCUCUCUUUUCUCUCUCAGUUUCUCUCUCUCUUCUCACACAAUCUCUCUCUCAGCCUCACUCGCCUCUCCCUUCCCUCUCCUGCCCUCCUCCCUUGUAAGCGCCGCGCCGCUCCUCUCUCCGCACCGCCACCGUCCGGCGCCUCCCUUCACCAUGUUCAGCCACCACCAGACUCGGCAUCUCUUUUCCUCUGGAUCGAGCAUUGAGGGCGUGAUACCAAGCAAAGGCAAGAAAAUGGGAGAGUUGUAUAGCGGUUCAGUAGUUACGGAUUGUUCGAGACGAAUCGAACCAGACGUUGGGGAUCAAGACUGAAGUUAGAUAAGAUUCCGUAUCAGGCUGCAGCAAUCGCAUGAGCACCAUAGCAGAGAAUCAGGAAUAGUUGAGGGUGAUGUCUUGAGAAAGCAGAAUAAGAUAAGGAUGUUAGCUAAGAGUGUAUAAGCUAAGGACCAAAGAUAGGGUUAAAGAUGAUUCAUCUGUCUAGGCUGCGUGUAAAAGUAAUGCUAGGCAAGGAUUGCAAGUGACUAAGUUUCAACCUGAUGGUCAGGAAGAGUAUCCAAGAUCGAGUCUUUGGGACUAGUGGUAAUUAGAGUUGUCUAAACUUGAUUUAGUUGUAAAAUCAUGUAAUAAGAUUUAUUAGUUUUACUUUUCUGAUUUCAAUACUAUAGCCUGUUUGCGAUCCUGUUUUAAAGGGGGUGAAAUUGAGUUUUAAUUUAAAUCAUUUUUUUUUAUA